UAGUGACUCUAUUGGUAAUACCUUACAAGCAUAAAAUAUGAUACCGAGUAUGUUAAGUACUUCGCAUGAUAAUCCGGGACAUCGUUUAGGCCAUUUAGUUCGAAUUUUAUAUGCUGGCAAUUGCAAAUGUUAGAGCCCAAUUGGUUCAGGCUACAGCAGUAGAAGAAAGUAAACCCAGAAACAAGAGAAAGAAAACAAGUAAAUAAUGUGGAAAUCCAUUUUAGGAGGAGACGAUGAUGAAGAAAGAAAUGAACGCUUCUUCGACGAUCAAACAACCGAUGAUGAUGAUCUUUGUGCUCUCUCUUACACCCAGAGAAUGUACGCGUUUGCUGCUUGUCUGCUCGGCGGAUUUCUCUUCAUAUUCUUGGAAUGAAAUAUUGAAUCCCUUUUCUUUUUAAUCUUAAUUUCAAGGAUUUGGAUCAAUUUUCCUCUUUUCUGGGGAAAAUUUUGGUACCUUGUGUAUUAUAGGGUAUUAAUGUGAUGGAAUUUUUGUUAGUGAAUAAUUGAAUCAUGUGCUUUUGUAUAAUGAAAGUCAAUUAGCUGUUUGAAUUCAUCUUAUGCCUAAAGUUAUAAUUUUUAUGUGUUUACUUUAUUCUAUACUGCUCCCUUGGAUUUGGUGAUUUCAAUGUGCAUGAUGUGUGAUUAUUUUUUGCAUUGAAUGAUUUCUUAGAUUUCAUGUAAUACUGGAAUUACUGAUAAAGGGGCGGUCGAUGAACCGGAUAGCAUCAUGAUUCAUGACUUUGUAGUGGAUAAUUAUUUCAACAAAGAAGGAAAUGAAGGGUCGUUGUGAUUUGUUAAGCAAUCAGCAUCUGCCUUGUAAUGGGUUUAUUUUUUCAUGGAGCCUUUUGUGCUGACUGCCAAGUAGUUGGAUGGUUGACCUUGACCUUCAUUGGCUUUCUAUCUAUGGAAUGGAAUUUAGUUCAGUCUUGAACAUGAUAAAGAUAUGGAAAAAAAAACUUAAGGGCCCUACCUGAAUUGAGGGAGCGACUUUUUGAAUCCGAAAGGGAUUGGCAUUGGGGUUUGGCCGUUUGGAGCACCAUCUAGUUUUCUAUAUUUACACUUUACAGUUUUUUUUUUUUUUUUAUCUCAUAGGGAGUAUUCAAACAAUGAAUAAGCAACCAUGACAAUAGGUGGUGCGUAAAGGUUUAUUGCUUAGGAAUUAGGACUUUUUUUGUUCACCUUGUCCAUGUGGAUUGGCUUUAUUAUGGUAAAUUUCAGCUUAGCAGGCUAGCAGCAUAUGCUAACUUUAUUUCUGCAUGUUUCUUUCACUUGAAUGUGUUGUGUAUUGGAUUUUUCAGGAUCAUUACUAGCUUAAAGCUAAAAAAAUAUAGUACUCUCUACAAUCAGAAAGAUUUAUAUCAUUUGAAUAACACAAGCUUUAUCUUUAUGAAUUGUGACCAAAAGGAUUUUAUGUAAUUCUUCGUGUGAAUCAUCAAAAUUUCUUCCUAACAUAGUGUUAUUUGAAUUUUUGGCAGUCAAUUAUCGUGUUCGUAAAGCCCAUCAAGUUUGCCCUGCUGUUUACUUUUGGGAAUGUGAUGGCUGUUGGAAGCCUUCCUCAUUGGACCAGCUGAGCAAUUAAGAAAGAUGUUUGAUCCUGUUCGUCGUUAUGCAACUGCAGUCUACCUGGGAUGUGUAAUUUUGGCACUAAUUUGUGCUAUAUUGAUCCACAGCAAGAUUUUAACUAUGUUUGCUAUGAUAUGUGAGAUAUGUGCUCUCAUUUGGUACAGUCUAAGCUACAUCCCUUUUGCCAGAAGAGUGGUCUCUGAUGUGAUGAUCCGCCUCUUCGACACUGAAAUUGAAUUUUAGAAGUGUCAUUGUUUUAUCACCUUUCUCCACUCAGUUCACGAUUUUGCUUGGCUCUUUCAGUUUUCUGGUGUUCUAUUUCAAGCAAGUUCAUACAGUUCCUCUUAUAGCCAAUUAGCACUUUGCAAGUUACUCUAAUUUUUCGUGUGCAGUUUCCCAAUUUUACCUGUAAAUUACCCGCAAAACCUUUUUUUUCUUGUUGGACUGGGAAGGAAAAGUUCCGACUAAUCAAUCAAGGUAACAAAACUCCUUGUGUGCUGUAUUGACACUGACCACUUACCUCUGCACCUAGAAUCUUAUGAUGUUGAUUCUCAACAACCUUAAUUCAGCCUUCACCACCUACCCCAGAAUGUAAACCUGUGCUACCAAAAAGCUUUACUUGUAUCAUUUUUGUACAAAUCCUGUUUUUUAUGGGCACUACUCUGAUUGGCUGUGCUCGGUCCGAAUUCUUUGGAAGAAAAAUGUAUGCGUGCGGUAAUUGCUUGACUAUUAAGCAAAAGCUUUCCAGCUUUGAAUUCAAGUGAUGGUUGAUGUUGAUUUCUCUAUUUCAAUUUUAUUCUAAUCGCGUCUAUCUUACCUUAUUAUAUACAAAGUACUUCUGUACAUUAGCAGUUUCUGUAUCUUACCUUAUUAUAUACAAAGUAUUUAUGUACAUUAGUAAAUUUAUAGUUGUAUUAUAAUAUCAGCAGCAGCAUUUCAACCCGACU
Long non-coding RNA from Chenopodium quinoa (quinoa), 2510 nucleotides. RefSeq lists it as uncharacterized. The transcript has 5 exons. NCBI's taxonomy places the organism in Eukaryota, Viridiplantae, Streptophyta, Magnoliopsida, Caryophyllales, Amaranthaceae. The record is from RefSeq and is a predicted model, not a curated record.